This 253-nucleotide ribosomal RNA is filed under the name uncultured bacterium. RNAcentral describes it as "partial 16S ribosomal RNA". It matches the Rfam family "Bacterial small subunit ribosomal RNA", at positions 99 to 353 of the family's 1533-position model. The record is from RNAcentral.
CGGACGGGUGAGUAAUGUCUGGGAAACUGCCUGAUGGAGGGGGAUAACUACUGGAAACGGUAGCUAAUACCGCAUAAUGUCUACGGACCAAAGCAGGGGCUCUUCGGACCUUGCACUAUCGGAUGAACCCAUAUGGGAUUAGCUAGUAGGUGGGGUAAAGGCUCACCUAGGCGACGAUCCCUAGCUGGUCUGAGAGGAUGACCAGCCACACUGGAACUGAGACACGGUCCAGACUCCUACGGGAGGCAGCAUG